UAGAAGUACAAUGCGUUUAAUGGAUUGUACUGCUUUUUAACAACAUGCCAAUUCUUUCAUUUGAUGACAUUUCUUUCCA
Sinocyclocheilus grahami is the source of this 79-nucleotide long non-coding RNA. RefSeq lists it as uncharacterized. The record is from RefSeq and is a predicted model, not a curated record. The transcript is spliced from 3 exons. Lineage: Eukaryota; Metazoa; Chordata; Actinopteri; Cypriniformes; Cyprinidae.